UAGCCGCCGCGGCAAUACCGGCGGCCCGAGUGGCGGUCACUAUUAUUGGGCUUAAAGCGUCCGUAGCCGGGUUGGGAAGUCCUCCGGGAAAUCUGGCCGCUUAACGGUCCGAAUGCCGGAGGAUACUCCCAGCCUAGGGAGCGGGGGAGGCCGAGGGGAUUCCCGGAGUAGGGGGGAAAUCCUAUAAUCCCGGGAGGACCACCUGUGGCGAGGGCGCUCGGCUGGGACGCGUCCGACGGUGAGGGACGAAGGCCAGGGGAGCAAACCGGAUUAGAUACCCGGGUAGUCCUGGCUGUAAACGAUGCGGACUUUGUGUCGGACAAGCUAUGAGCUUGUCCGGUGCCGGAGGGAAACCGUUAAGUCCGCCGCCUGGGGAGUACGGCCGCAAGGCUGAAACUUAAAGGAAUUGGCGGG
Molecule: ribosomal RNA, 414 nt
Filed under: uncultured microorganism
Description: bacterial SSU rRNA
Rfam family: Archaeal small subunit ribosomal RNA
Source: RNAcentral